GACGAACGCUGGCGGCGUGCUUAACACAUGCAAGUCGAACGCUGAAGCUUGGUGCUUGCACUGGGUGGAUGAGUGGCGAACGGGUGAGUAAUACGUGAGUAACCUGCCCUUGACUCUGGGAUAAGCCUGGGAAACUGGGUCUAAUACUGGAUACGACAUGUCACCGCAUGGUGGUGUGUGGAAAGGGUUUUACUGGUUUUGGAUGGGCUCACGGCCUAUCAGCUUGUUGGUGGGGUAAUGGCUCACAAAGGCGACGACGGGUAGCCGGCCUGAGGGGGUGGCGGGCACAGCGGGGCGGAGACAAGGCCCAGACUCCCUAGGGGGGGAAGAGGGGGGAAAAUUGGAAAAAGGGGGGGAGGCCUGAGGCAGCAACGCGGGGGGGGGAAGGAGGGCCUUGGGGUGGAAAACCCUUUUCAGCCGGAAAAAGGGGAAGGGGAGGGAACGGGCAAAGAAGGCCCGGGUAAACACGGG
Molecule: ribosomal RNA, 471 nt
Filed under: uncultured bacterium
Lineage: Bacteria
Description: partial 16S ribosomal RNA
Rfam family: Bacterial small subunit ribosomal RNA
Source: RNAcentral